RNAcentral lists this ribosomal RNA (254 nucleotides) under uncultured bacterium. RNAcentral's name for it is "partial 16S ribosomal RNA". It matches the Rfam family "Bacterial small subunit ribosomal RNA", at positions 524 to 776 of the family's 1533-position model. The record is from RNAcentral.
UACGUAGGAGGCAAGCGUUGUCCGGAAUUACUGGGCGUAAAGCGCGCGUAGGCGGUAGGCCAAGUCUGCUGUGAAAUCGCCCGGCUCAACUGGGCGCGGUCGGUGGAAACUGGUCAACUGGAGGACGGUAGAGGCGAGUGGAAUUCCCGGUGUAGUGGUGAAAUGCGUAGAGAUCGGGAGGAACACCAGUGGCGAAGGCGGCUCGCUGGGCCGGACCUGACGCUGGAGGCGCGAAGGCGUGGGGAGCGAACGGG